This 468-nucleotide ribosomal RNA is filed under the name uncultured bacterium. Its description in RNAcentral is "partial 16S ribosomal RNA". It matches the Rfam family "Bacterial small subunit ribosomal RNA", at positions 28 to 507 of the family's 1533-position model. The record is from RNAcentral.
GACGAACGCUGGCGGCGUGCUUAACACAUGCAAGUCGAACGGAAAGGCCCUGCUUUUGUGGGGUGCUCGAGUGGCGAACGGGUGAGUAACACGUGAGUAACCUGCCCUUGACUUUGGGAUAACUUCAGGAAACUGGGGCUAAUACCGGAUAGGAGCUCCUGCUGCAGGGUGGGGGUUGGAAAGUUUCGGCGGUUGGGGAUGGACUCGCGGCUUAUCAGCUUGUUGGUGGGGUAGUGGCUUACCAAGGCUUUGAUGGGUAGCCGGCCUGAGAGGGUGACCGGCCACAUUGGGACUGAGAUACGGCCCAGACUCCUACGGGAGGCAGCAGUGGGGAAUAUUGCACAAUGGGCGGAAGCCUGAUGCAGCAACGCCGCGUGCGGGAUGACGGCCUUCGGGUUGUAAACCGCUUUCGCCUGUGACGAAGCGUGAGUGACGGUAAUGGGUAAAGAAGCACCGGCUAACUACGUG